Molecule: non-coding RNA, 1972 nt
Organism: Gasterosteus aculeatus aculeatus (three-spined stickleback)
Lineage: Eukaryota; Metazoa; Chordata; Actinopteri; Perciformes; Gasterosteidae
Source: RefSeq, a predicted model, not a curated record
UGUGUAGUGUUAAGUUUCCUUUGUAUUGAAAGCAGACACAAUUGUCAUGUUUCCUAUGUAGUGUUACGUUUCCUUUCCGAUGGACAAGAGACAAAGUUCUCAUGUGUCUUUGUAGUGUUAAGUUUCCUUUCUGAUGGACAGGAGACACAGUCCUCCCUUUUCCUCUGUAAAGACACCUUCCAGUCUUGGCCUCACCUCCUUCUGCACUGUGAGGAUCAGCUCACAGCAUCUAAGACAUGACAAAGACUGCAGCACCAACUGAACUGUCAAUCAACCGAGGACCCAUCACAGUUAGACCCCAUAGGGACACAUUUGACUUCCUGCCUGUCCCCGUCAUUCUUCAAAGCAAAGGAUGAGAAAACACCUGCCUGUCUUUGCCUCACUUCCUGUCUGGCUCUGAGAUUCGGGAUCAGCUCAUACCGACCAGGACAUCCUGCCACCACUGCAGCAGCAGAGCAGAUGUUGAAGCACCGUGUUAACUGUUCAUCAUCAGUGGACACUUGCUGGACCACAGAGAGACGUGUUCUCCCUGCCAGUGUUGAGGUUUCUUCACAAAAGAUAAUAAGGUCUUCCUCCUCUGUGAUUCCUCCACUUCACAGUGAAGACACUCAGGACUGCAGAGAGGGCUGAACACAUAAAAGAAGCUGAACAUGCAGCGUAUUCAGUUUCACUGGACUACAUGUUGAUCUGCUCUGCACUGCUCUCAGAGUUCAAGGAUCAGGUGUGUGACUGCAAGGAAGAGUCAUCAGUCAGUCAUCACUGUCCCAGUGACAGCCCCACCUUUAUGCAGCUUCAAGCUCCUCCCUAAACCAGCUGUAAAGGCCUCUCCUCCUCCAUGUAGCUAUAGUAACACUAUCCUGACGUGAUGACUGGAGCAGUGGAUCUACAGCCGCUGCACAGGUCAAAGGUCAUAAUGUUACAGGUCUUCAAAGCAUACACUACUAACUCAUGAACAGUAUUACUACAGGACACCUGUCUAUUUUGUUUGUUUCAUCUCUACCGUAUUUGAUCUAACAAUAUACGUUUUCCUUGUGUUUCAUCGCAUUUUUUUUGUUGAUUGUAUUUAUUUAUUUAUUAUUUUUUUAUUUGUCAUCCGUCCCUUUUCAGUCAGAUUUAUGAGAAAAUUAAGGAUGAAAAUGUUUGUUUGAUUGCCUCGUGCAUAUGAACAAAUUAACCUUGAAGAAAUGACAUAUUUGUAUCACAAUGAGUCAUUAGUAUGGGGUUUCAGCUGGUAGGUAUAUUCAAGGUUUUUCACAUGUGUACACCGAUCCUUAGGAUAACCUAAACUCUAAAAGAUUUAAUAGGAAAACAAAUCCUACAAAGCUUGGGUCCUAACCUUGAGUCAACAAGUGACUCUAACCCAUGUUCCAUCAAAAUAAGGAGAACCCAGUGUGUCUGUGAGCCUCAGUAAACUGAGCUUAACGCUGGGAUAGUCUAAACGACAAUGUUGUCAAGACUUAUCUGUCCAGGGCUCCUGGACCUUGAAGUCUUGAACUGAGUAUUAACCUAAGUCUGGAAACGAUGUGAAAAACCUUUGAUUGUAGGAAAUGAACCAUAUUGUUAACUAUUGAAACUAUAGUAAAUCUAUUCAUGAAUAACACAGAGACCAAUGUUCACAAAACUGUGUUGAUACAUUUCUCACUCUAAGAUUUUAUCUUUCACAAAAUACUCAAAAUAAUUAUGACCAAUACAACAGUACUUGUGCACUGUACUCAUCUAUAUUAUUUCAUUAUAUUUUGAUAGAAGAUAAUGAGUCAAAAAAUGAUGUAAAGACGGGAUCUUCUUUUGUGUUGUAUUUCAACUCUUAGCUUUGUUAAAUGCUGCACUUCAUCUUCCACACUGCCAAUUUUGAAAUUAAAAUAUCAUGUUAUCCUGCUGUGCUGGUCUUCACUUUUUGGCAUUAACACUUAUUCAGCAAAGCCAUUGGAAAUUUCAAUAUUUUCAGAAAUUGAACUUAAUUUCAUCUUUGAGC